GCGGAAGGAUCAGUAGAGAAUCCUGGGCUUCGGUCCAUUUAUCUACCCAUCUACACCUGUGAACUGUUUAUGUGGUUCGCCAGAAAAAACACAAACUUCUAAAUGUAGUGAAUGUAAUCUUAUUACACCAACAGUAAAACUUUCAACCACGGGUUUCUUGGCUUCCGCA
This 169-nucleotide unclassified non-coding RNA is filed under the name uncultured fungus. RNAcentral's name for it is "partial contains 18S rRNA, ITS1, 5.8S rRNA". The record is from RNAcentral. Lineage: Eukaryota; Fungi.